RNAcentral lists this ribosomal RNA (522 nucleotides) under uncultured bacterium. RNAcentral's name for it is "bacterial SSU rRNA". It matches the Rfam family "Bacterial small subunit ribosomal RNA", at positions 382 to 896 of the family's 1533-position model. The record is from RNAcentral.
CCUGACGCAGCGACGCCGCGUGAGGGAAGAAGGCCUUCGGGUUGUAAACCUCUUUUAAGAGGGAAGAAGCCACUCGGGUGAAUAGCCCAGAGGGUGACGGUACCUCUAGAAUAAGCCCCGGCUAACUACGUGCCAGCAGCCGCGGUAAUACGUAGGGGGCGAGCGUUGUCCGGAUUUACUGGGCGUAAAGAGCGUGUAGGCGGCCAGACAGGUCCGUUGUGAAAACUGGAGGCUCAACCUUCAGACGUCGACGGAAACCGUCUGGCUAGAGUCCGGAAGAGGAGAGUGGAAUUCCUGGUGUAGCGGUGAAAUGCGCAGAUAUCAGGAAGAACACCGAUGGCGAAGGCAGCUCUCUGGGACGGUACUGACGCUGAGACGCGAAAGCGUGGGGAGCGAACAGGAUUAGAUACCCUGGUAGUCCACGCCGUAAACGAUGGGUGCUAGGUGUGGGAGGUGUCGACUCCUUCCGUGCCGCAGCUAACGCAUUAAGCACCCCGCCUGGGGAGUACGGCCGCAAGGCUA